Long non-coding RNA from Amphimedon queenslandica, 575 nucleotides. RefSeq lists it as uncharacterized. The record is from RefSeq and is a predicted model, not a curated record. The transcript is spliced from 4 exons. NCBI's taxonomy places the organism in Eukaryota, Metazoa, Porifera, Demospongiae, Haplosclerida, Niphatidae.
UCAUUUUUGUUCUUCUCUUCUCUCAAGAUUUCAUGGCAGGAUUUGUCAUUCUUUGAUCUGCUCUUUAUGAAGGAUUGGGUAAGCUGCCAAAGCUGGUCAUUGGGUCACAGAGAGAAGAUCAUCAUGUCUCAGAAAUGGGUUCUCUGUCUCUCCCUCUUCCUCCCUUUCUCUGUCCGUCUCUCUCUCUCUCCGCCUUUCAGUCAAUGAAGUCUGGUUUAUUAUGAUGUCCUCCCUACUACUAUUGGAAGGUAGAGAUAUUCAGAAGGUAUUGAAGGUGUGACCACAGACCAAUGCCCCGCCCCCUCAGAUUCACUACUUGAUGUUAGCACCAAUCCCAGUACAGAUUGGACUCAAUAGGUCAAUGGAAAUGAAAGAGAGGGACAGAAUGGGGACAUCAAAUUCAUUCUAUCAAAGGAUGUGGUAUCUUGUGAGGCCAUUCAUUCCCUGGCAGUGUGUGUCUUACUGGGUGUCUGGUCUAUGACUAUUGAGCUAUUGGGACGGGUCUGUCCUGAUUCAGUUGGUAAACUCAAGCACUCAAUAUUCAACCAGUUGCAAGGUAAAAAUAUUUGUCAGAA